Long non-coding RNA from Mustela erminea (ermine), 1135 nucleotides. RefSeq lists it as uncharacterized. NCBI's taxonomy places the organism in Eukaryota, Metazoa, Chordata, Mammalia, Carnivora, Mustelidae. The record is from RefSeq and is a predicted model, not a curated record. The transcript has 3 exons.
GGGUCCUGGGCCCGUGGCUGCCCGCCUAGCUCAGGCAUUAGCUUCCCUCCUCCCACUCCCCCCACCCUCCCAGCUCCUGGCCGCCCCCUUCCCUGCCUGCCACACAGCUGUUUUGCCAACAUUGCUGCCUGAUUAUCUUUCAAGUGGCUUCUUGGAGCAGAUGUUCCGGCUCCUUCCUGCAUCGAAAACAAACAGGCGCUCUGUUGUCGUUUGCUCUCCUGGGGAAAAUCCCUCUGCUGCUGCAGAUUCUUCUUGAGAGGUUCAGGGACUUCUGUGAAGUCUCUCCCAGCUGCUCCUUGCCAGGAAUUUGCCUCCAGAUGGAUGACAGGGGCUCCUCAGGUCUUCCGAGGUGUGUGGCCCUUCCUGGACGUGGGCUGGGGGAGUACACUUGUAACAGAAUCGGAUUCAGACCUAGGGGAAGCCAGUGGAGGUUGGUGGGUUGGGGGGACUCACUCCUGUCACCGCCUUCCCAUAAUAUUUAACCUUUCGAAAAACGUAAACAUCUCACCAACUUGGAUUCUGAAAGAUCCCCCAGCAGUUUGUCCCCAGUUGAAAAUCUCUGUUUGUUUUCAGGAACCUCACCAACAAGGAAAUGUUGCUGGCUUGCUUUCUGAGGUUUGCGUUAUGAAAGCCAUAGGUUUCCAGUUUCUGUUUUAUGAAUGUGAAAGUUGAAUGUGUCUUUCAAAAGGUGCACAUUUCAUAUCCUCUCCCUGUUGAGGUUCAGGGCUCUGGCUCCACCAGGCAGCAGCUUGGCCAGUGGUCAGGAUGACCCCUGGGAUGCCAGGAAGUGACAUCUUGUCACCCUGUUUUGUGUGUGUAAGAAAUGGCGGCCUCAGCAACUCACUCCUGGAGGUCCAAAACCUCUGCAAGUCUGGCGUCUGGGCUUACCUUCAGAAUGUUUCUCCAGUCGGCUGAGUCUCUCCCACUCUGGUGCGGCUGUCCCUCUGCACCAAGCCGCCAGCCUCAUGACCCGGAUGACCUCAGAAGAUGCCUGCUGGUCCCCCUGCCCUAAGUCAUUCCUUGACACCACCCAAGGAGGAGGUUUUGGAAUACUUGCUUUGUGCUCAGUCUUUUGAUAAGAAUCUGUGAGAUUAUGGGAGAAGGAGAUGCCAUCCUGGGCAUGAGAGAGGCCCUC